Molecule: ribosomal RNA, 1348 nt
Filed under: metagenome
Description: bacterial LSU rRNA
Rfam family: Bacterial large subunit ribosomal RNA
Source: RNAcentral
UGAGUACGAGCUGCUACGGCAGCGAAGUGGGUGACGUCAAGCUUCCAAGAAAAGCCCUAUACCCGUUAAGGCAUGAUGGCCUGUACCCGAAACCGACACAGGAGGGGUGGUAGAGAAUACCGAGGGGCGCGAGAUAACUCUCUCUAAGGAACUCGGCAAAAUGGCCCCGUAACUUCGGGAGAAGGGGUGCCACCGCAAGGUGGUCGCAGUGAAGAGGCCCAGGCGACUGUUUACCAAAAACACAGGUCUCCGCUAAGUCGCAAGACGAUGUAUGGGGGCUGACGCCUGCCCAGUGCCGGAAGGUUAAGGAAGCUGGUCAGCGUAAGCGAAGCUAGCGACUGAAGCCCCGGUGAACGGCGGCCGUAACGAUAACGGUCCUAAGGUAGCGAAAUUCCUUGUCGGGUAAGUUCCGACCCGCACGAAAGGCGUAACGAUCUGGGCGCUGUCUCGGAGAGAGGCUCGGCGAAAUAGAAUUGUCUGUGAAGAUGCGGACUACGUGCACCCGGACAGAAAGACCCUAUGAAGCUUUACUGUAGCUUGGUAUUGUGCUCGGGCUCGGAAUGCGCAGGAUAGGUGGGAGGCUAUGAACCAUUGCUUGUGGGUGAUGGUGAGCCACUGGUGAGAUACCACUCUUUCCGAGCUAGAGUUCUAACAGCCACCCGUUAUCCGGGGGCUGGACAGUAUCAGGUGGGCAGUUUGACUGGGGCGGUCGCCUCCUAAAAGGUAACGGAGGCGCGCAAAGGUUUGCUCAGGCUGGUUGGAAAUCAGCCGACGAGUGUAAAAGCAGAAGCAAGCUUGACUGUGAGACCUACAAGUCGAACAGGGAGGAAACUCGGCUUUAGUGAUCCGACGGUUCUGCGUGGAAGGGCCGUCGCUCAACGGAUAAAAGUUACUCUAGGGAUAACAGGCUGAUCUCCCCCAAGAGUUCACAUCGACGGGGAGGUUUGGCACCUCGAUGUCGGCUCAUCGCAACCUGGGGCUGAAGUCGGUCCCAAGGGUUGGGCUGUUCGCCCAUUAAAGCGGUACGCGAGCUGGGUUCUGAACGUCGUGAGACAGUUCGGUCCAUAUCCGGUGCAUGCGCAGGAAUAUUGAGAGGAUUUCUCCCUAGUACGAGAGGACCGGGAGGAACGCACCUCUGGUGUACCAGUUAUCGUGCCAACAGUAAACGCUGGGUAGCCAUGUGCGGAGAGGAUAACCGCUGAAAGCAUCUAAGUGGGAAGCCCACCUCAAGAUGAGUAUUCCCAUGGGUUAACCCAGUAGGUCACGGGAAGAACACCCGUUGAUAGGCUCUACGUGGAAGCGCAGUAAUGUGUGAAGCGGAGGAGUACUAAUAGACCGAGGGCUUGAC